UACGUAGGGUGCAAGCGUUGUCCGGAAUUAUUGGGCGUAAAGAGCGUGUAGGCGGCCCGAUUAGUCCGCUGUGAAAGUCCAGGGCUCAACCCUGGAAUGCCGGUGGAUACUGUCGAGCUAGAGUGCGGAAGAGGCGAGUGGAAUUCCUGGUGUAGCGGUGAAAUGCGCAGAUAUCAGAAGGAACACCUAUUGCGAAGGCAGCUCGCUGGGACGUAACUGACGCUGAGACGCGAAAGCGUGGGGAGCAAACAGG
Molecule: ribosomal RNA, 253 nt
Filed under: uncultured bacterium
Lineage: Bacteria
Description: partial 16S ribosomal RNA
Rfam family: Bacterial small subunit ribosomal RNA
Source: RNAcentral